ACUGCCAGAAUAUUGUCAAAGCCUUUGCAAUGUAUAUUACUUUCAGCUGUUUCUUAUUAUCAUACAGAGUGCAUUGAACUAACUUGAAAACUGGCAUCUGUGAUGUUGAAGUCCACAGGAGAAGACAGAUUUAGACAAUCUACUUGGUACUUCUGGCUGAAUUUUGAUGAGAAUGCUUCAGCCUUGUCUUCUACUCUGAUGUGCUGGACUGUCCCAUUAUUAAAAAUGGGGAUAUUUGUGGGUCCUUCUCAUCUGAUGGUUCAUGAAGCUUCAUGCAGUCCAGAAAAAGUAUUGUGGAGUCCCAACUGUACACCACUGUGCCCACCACCUCUGAUGAGUCUGCCUUCCAGGUGGAAGAGGAUAUCACUAGGAAUAGUGGUGUCUGCAACAUUGUUUCUUCUCUGCAAGCAACAGGGCGGGCACAACUGCUUCAGGAUCACUGCCAGUUCUUUCAGCAGGUGGCCAUCAGGAGAUAGCAGGAAUUGUUAUGUUGUGAUCCACCCAUGCAAUUUUCCCUCCCUCCACUCUGUCAGAUAACACAGACUCUCUAUAACCUCACUUCACAAGAUAUGGUUUGGGUCAGAAGCACUACAUCAAAAUAAUAUAUUGCAAUGCUCUUUACCCUCCUCUUGAAAGUAUGUCGAGACUCAGUUGGCUGGAUGGUUGGUUUGCAAGAGAUAAUAGGAACUGCCGAUGCUGGAGAAUCUGAGAUAACAAGGUGUAGAGCUGGACGAACACAGCAGGCCAAGCAGCAUCAGAGGAGCAGGAAAGCUGACGUUUCGGGCCUAGACCUUUCUUCAGAAAUGGGGGAGGGGAAGGGGGUUCUGAAAUAAAUAGGGAGAUAGGGAGAGAGGGGGAGGCAGAUAGAAAAUGGAUAAGGGAGAAGAUAGGUGGGGAGGAGACAGACAGGUCAAAGAGGCGGGGAUGGAGCCAGUAAAGGUGAAUGUAGGUGGGGAGUUAGGGAGGGGAUAGGUCAGUCCAGGGAGGACGGACAGGUCAAGGGGGCGGGAUGAGGUUAGUAGGUAGGAGAUGGGGGUGGGGCUUGAGGUGGGAGGAGAGGAUAAGUGGGAGGAAGGACAUGUCAUGUCUUAAAUAAAUGGUUUCUUUUUACUGAUACAUAUUUUUCAUUGGCAUAUUCACUUCUACAUACUUUGAAGUCAAAGUCAAGUCACCAUAGUCUUACCAGACCAUAGGGAUGCUCUCCCAUUAGAGAGAAAAGACUGGCAGUGAAUUAACUUGAGGGCCACCAUACCUCAGGUGAGGGGAGGUAGGUUGAGAAGGAGAGUCCAUCAUGGUAACCUCAGCUGAUGUGGGGAUUGAACCCAUGCUGUUGGCAUCAAACAGGACUGGUUAGGGAGGCGGGGACAAGCUGGGCUGGUUUUGGGAUGUAGUUGGGGAAGGGGAGAUUUUGAAGCUUGUGAAGUCAACAUUGAUACCAUUGGGCUGCAGGGUUCCCAAGCGAAAUAUGAGGUGCUGUUCCUGCAACCUUUGGGUGGCAUCGUUGUGGCUCUACAGGAGGCCCAGGAUGGACAUGUUGUCUAAGGAAUGGGAGGGGGAGUUGAAAUGGUUCGCGACUGGGAGGUGCAGUUGGUUUGCAAAGCAGUUUGAUGCCAAUACCAUGGGUUCAAUCCCAACAUCAGCUGAGGUUACCAUGAAGGACUCUCCUUCUCAACCUAUCUCCCCUCACCUGAGGUAUGGUGGCCCUCAAUUUAAUUCACUGCCAGUCUUUUCUCUCUAAUGGGAGAGCAUCCCUAUGGUCUGGUAAGACUAUGGUGACUUGACUUUGAUUUCAAAGUAUGUAGAAGUGAAUAUGCCAAUGAAAAAUCCGUAUCAGUAAAAAGAAACCAUUUAUUUAAGACAUGACGAUUCAAGAAAGGAAUAGAAAUAAAAUUUAAGAAUUAGUCAUUGUGACAAAGCAAACCUCAGUCUCUACUAUGAUAUGCAUCCAAUGAGGCUUGUUGAAUUUUCACUAUCAUCUAACAACAGUGAAUCAUUUUUUACUACCAUGUUUAUACAGAUUAGUGUAUUAACAUGAAAUCCCUUUAUGCAGAAAGCUUACAGCAGUCAGGAAAGCUACAGUGAAGCUCUGUUUUGUAGGAGAAUAUUUAAUGGAUGAAAUUCCUGUCUUUGUUAAUUUAGUAAAUCAUCAAAUCAGGGAUCAGUUUGGAUAUUACUGGAUAUUUCACUAGGUCAUUGCAAAUGAUUUGUUUAUUAUUCUGUUGCUGUUUCAAGCCAUAAAUAAUAUUUUUGAGUAUGUCAUAAUGGGAUAUUCCAGCAAUAUGGAAAAUUACACAGCUAUGUCCUGUCCAUAAAAAUGGACAAGUCCAACCCAGCCAAUUAUUACCCUAACAGUCAUCAACAAAAUGAUGCAAGGUGUCAUCAACAGUGUUAACAACAGGCACUUGCUAAACAACAACCUGUUCGUGAAUAAUGGGUUCGGAUUUUUCCAGAUAUAUUCAUCUCCUGAUCUCAUUACAGCCUUGGUUCAAACAUGGACAAAGGAGAUGAGAUGAGAUCUAUUGUCCAUCACAUCAGGACAAUAUUUGAUUGAGUGUGCCAAUAAGAAGGCCUAAUAAGAUCAGAGUCAUUGGGAAUCAGAGGGCAAACUGUCCCAUGGUUGGAGUCAUACCUUGCACAAAUAAGGAUGGUUGUGGUUAUAGGAAAUCAACCAUAUCAAUCCUGGGGCACUGUAAAAACUCACCAUGGCCUGUUCGACUGGUCUUCCCAAACCCAUGACUUUUAUCAUUUGCCAAGUGCAACAUGUGUUAGACCAUCACCAACUGCAAGUUCCCCUCCAAUCCAUUCACCAUCCUGAUAUAGAACUAUAUUGCCAUUCUUUCAUUCCAUCUGGGUCUUGAACUCCUCACUGCCUCUGGGUCUUGAACUCCUCUAUUAACAGUGCUAUGAGUAAACUUAACCUGUAGGGUCUGUAGUGGUUCAAGAAGGCAACUCACCACUUUCUCAAAGGCAUUUAGGGAUGGGCAAUAAACCAACAAUGCCAUCAAUGCACAUAAGAUGAAUAAGAAAAGUAAUAGCAAAUUGUCUAACCUGAGUCAAAGGGAGAUACGGGAAUUUUCAUCAUCACACACUUCAGGCAAGCAUUCGUGACUUUAUUAAAUAUUUUACCACACACCAAUUCCUUGUGGGUUUCUUCACUAGCUUCCUGCCAGACACUGGCAUGUGUGUGUAUAAAUGAUUCACAGGUAACUCGGCGGCUAGAAAUCAACUAAUUUUCAUGGGAAAUCUUGAAAAACAUCUUUGACUUAUAAUGUUGUACUGAUCAGCCAUAAAAGCAAUGCCCACCUUUGUUGCUGCACUGCCAUUAGAGACAGUAUCUCUGUCUUUGAACAAAAAAAGGGCUUGGUAGUCAGUUAAUAAAGUGUAUUUCUUACCCUAA
Rhincodon typus (whale shark) is the source of this 3397-nucleotide long non-coding RNA. RefSeq lists it as uncharacterized. NCBI's taxonomy places the organism in Eukaryota, Metazoa, Chordata, Chondrichthyes, Orectolobiformes, Rhincodontidae. The transcript has 3 exons. The record is from RefSeq and is a predicted model, not a curated record.